GGUCGAUGUGGUCGUUGUCGAUGUAGUCGUCGCGAGCUGGCAGCCAAGCGCUUUCGUUGACGUCGUGUGGCCCAAAAAAGCCUGAGCUUUCGGCGUUGGAGCAUGAAGUGGCGGGGCCCCAUAUCAAGGUUGCCUGCAGCAGAUGAAAAAAGGGCGUCUGCAUGACGAGUUGCGAUGCGGUGGCGUGCCCCAAAUGACUCCAGUGGUACAGCGGCUUAUGUAGGUGCCGGAUUCCCGCGCUUGUGCCAGGUUGCCAGAUGACAGACUGGUCCACCGCUGGAAGCAGCGGAUGCAGGUCGAUGUGGUCGUUGUCGAUGUAGUCGUCGCAAGCUGGCAGCCAAGCGCUUUCGUUGACGUCGUGUGGCCCAAAAAAGCCUGAGCUUUCGGCGUUGGAGCAUGAAGUGGCGGGGCCCCAUAUCAAGGUUGCCUGCAGCAGAUGAAAAAAGGGCGUCUGCAUGACGAGUUGCGAUGCGGUGGCGUGCCCCAAAUGACUCCAGUGGUACAGCGGCUUAUGUAGGUGCCGGAUUCCCGCGCUUGUGCCAGGUUGCCAGAUGACAGACUGGUCCACCGCUGGAAGCAGCGGAUGCAGGUCGAU
RNAcentral lists this long non-coding RNA (595 nucleotides) under Dermacentor andersoni. RNAcentral describes it as "uncharacterized LOC126540007". The record is from RNAcentral. Lineage: Eukaryota; Metazoa; Arthropoda; Arachnida; Ixodida; Ixodidae.